AAAAACAUACAAAUAAAAAAUGGUUACGGUAAGGGUUCAAGUUAGGUAGGGUUAAGGUUAGAAUCCAUGGUAGGGACGUUUUAAGGAUUCCUGAUAGCACUAACUAUUAGCAAAAUACUUAUAUCAAAGAGUUGUAUUGUUCUAUUUGCGUUUAUAUUGGCAUAAAUAAAGAUGGGUUCUGACUAGAGAGUGUACAGCUACGACCGGAAUUGACUUUUUCGUAACAGGUUACAAGAAUUUAAAGGCGUUACAUGGUCAAUCUGACAUCUGCAUUGCAGGACCUCCCGCCCCCACCUACCAUCAAACAAUCAUGUCAACGCGGAGCUAUACAGAGCCCUCUGCAUUGUUACAAAAUUUGGGAGGCCCACAGCCAUGCGGUACUGAGCUCCGAAGUCCCCGCGAUUGCGUCACCUCCAUACGGAGUCUCCGACAACAUUUUCGGAGCAAGUAUAAGUUGGCUUUUACGCAUCAGGACCUGAGCCCUAGGACCAUGCCUCAGGACUACCUGGUAUGAUGACUCCUUGCUGUCCCCAGUCCACCUGGCCGUGCUGCUGCUCCAGUUUCAACUGUUCUGCCUGCGGCUAUGGAACCCUGACCUGUUCACCGGACGUGCUUGUUGCACCCUCGACAACUACUAUGAUUAUUAUUAUUUGACCAUGCUGGUCAUUUAUGAACAUUUUUAACAUUUUAACAUUUUGACCAUGUUCUGUUAUAAUAUCCACCCUGCACAGCCAGAAGAGGACUGGCCACCCC
RNAcentral lists this long non-coding RNA (753 nucleotides) under Salmo salar (Atlantic salmon). Its description in RNAcentral is "lncRNA (ENSSSAG00000105969.1)". Lineage: Eukaryota; Metazoa; Chordata; Actinopteri; Salmoniformes; Salmonidae. The record is from RNAcentral.